Molecule: ribosomal RNA, 468 nt
Filed under: uncultured bacterium
Lineage: Bacteria
Description: partial 16S ribosomal RNA
Rfam family: Bacterial small subunit ribosomal RNA
Source: RNAcentral
GACGAACGCUGGCGGCGUGCUUAACACAUGCCAGUCGAACGGAAAGGCCCUUCUUUUGUGGGGUGCUCGAGUGGCGACCGGGUGAGUAACACUUGAGUAACCUGCCCUUUACUUUGGGAUACCUUCAGGAAACUGGGGCUAAUACCGGAUAGGAGCUCCUGCUGCAUGGUGGGGGUUGGAAAGUUUCGGCGGUUGGGUAUGUACUCGCGGCUUAUCAGCUUGUUGGUGGGGUAGUGGCUUACCAAGGCUUUGACGGGUAGCCGGCCUGAGAGGGUGACCGGACAAAUGGGGACUGAGAGAAGGACCAGACUACGAAGGGAGGCAGCAGUGGGGAAGAUUGCACAAUGGGCGGAAGCCUGAUGCAGCAAAGCAGCGGGCGGGAUGACGGCCUUCGGGUUGUAAAACGAGGUCGCCUGUGACGAAGCGUGAGUGACGGUAAUGGGUAAAGAAGCACCGGCUAACUACGUG